UCAUCUGGAAGGUUGUCUAUAUUGAUAGUCAGAGUGUGUCCUCAACCGUGAACGUAUGCUCGUCCAUGAGCUUGAUUGGGAAUGCACGCUCCUCUGUGUGCUAAGAUGAGAGUAUACGCUAUCCCAAGGACCCAGGCGGGAGCGUAAACUGCCAGAACGCUUGGAGCGUGACUGGUUAAUGGGCUGUUUACCAAGAUACUGGUGGAGAGGUUCGUCUGCCUUUGUCCUACUUCAGGACACCUCGUCUGGGGAACAUUGGAUCUUGGUGCGUUGCAAGAGUUGAUUCACCAAGGUUGUCUGUUAUGCAAGGGCGCUCGUCAACUCUAUGACUUGUCGAGACAAGUGUUGUUCGCCAUUUGGAUUGGAAGAGCUUGGAAGGAAUGUGCCUCCUUGAGCAGUGGAAGUUUGGUAGACUCUUGGUGCAAGAUUUGAAUUGGGAAAUGUCAAAUCCACGAAGAAAUAUGGUGAAAAUGCCCCCGGCUCGAUGGUUGCUCCGAAUAG
RNAcentral lists this long non-coding RNA (501 nucleotides) under Malus domestica (apple). RNAcentral describes it as "long non-coding RNA (MDOM_LNC019325)". The record is from RNAcentral. Lineage: Eukaryota; Viridiplantae; Streptophyta; Magnoliopsida; Rosales; Rosaceae.